Long non-coding RNA from Cairina moschata (Muscovy duck), 2939 nucleotides. NCBI's taxonomy places the organism in Eukaryota, Metazoa, Chordata, Aves, Anseriformes, Anatidae. The record is from Ensembl.
GUCAAGACAAAUGCUUUCCUUGCCCUGCUGGGUUUCACUGUCCAAAAGGACUAAGACACCGCUGUCCUCCUGGCUUCUAUUGCCCUCAGAAAACUGGAACCCAUUUGUAUCCUUGUCCCCCUGGGACUUACAAUCCCUCUUACGGACUCAGCCAAGCUGAGAGGUGUCAGCAGUGCCCUGCAGGUAUGUUCUGUGGAGACUGGGGAUUAUCCUCUCCAAGUGGUCCCUGCUGGCCAGGAUUCUUCUGCACAGCAGGAGCAAGUGUCCCAAACCCUAAUGGAGCCACAAACACGAGCACUGGUGGCCCAUGCCCACCUGGCCACUUCUGCCCAGCUGGCACAGCUAUACCUCAGCAGUGCCCUGUGGGCACUUACUCAGACAGGCUGUACAUCGGGCAGGAGUCCAGCUGCACAGCGUGCCCAUCUGGCUAUUACUGCCGCUCUGCUGGCCUCACGGCACCCUCAGGACCCUGCUCAGCUGGGUACUACUGCCUCUCUGGAGCUUCCUCGCCAUCGCCACCUGGUGUGUGGGAGAAAGGAGGCCCUUGUCCUGUGAGCCACUUCUGUCCCGAAGGAACCAGCUUUCCCUUAGCGUGCCUUGCAGGGACUUACAACAACCUCACCAGACAAGCUGCGUGCUUUCCUUGUGCUGCAGGCUACUACUGCCCAGAAAAUACUACCAGCUACAGUGCAAAUCCAUGCCCGGCUGGCUUCUACUGCCCCAGAGGAACCAGGUUUGCUACUGAGUUUCCCUGUCCUCGGGGCUACUUUAACCCAGACCCCAUGACACAGAGCUUGGAUAGCUGCUUGCCCUGUCCUCCUGGGCAUUACUGUGGGAAGGAGAACUUGACAGCUGCAUCAGGCAAGUGUGACGCAGGAUGGUUUUGCAUCUCAGCUGCUUGGACACCACGGCCUUUUGAUCUGGAUAAUUACACCAAUGCUAACUGCCUCUGUCCCGCCACUGCCACUGGAGGGAAGUGCAUAGCUGGUUCCUAUUGUCCCACAGGAAGCCCAGAGCCUCUUCCCUGCCGUCCGGGGUUUUACUGCAAUGCCCCAGGUCUGUCCAUCCCCAGUGGGGAAUGUGCUGCUGGCUUUUACUGUAAAGGUGGAGCAACUCUCCCUAAUCCAAGAGAUGAUGUGACUGGGAAUAUCUGCCCUGCGGGGACUUACUGCACUGCAGCAUCGGCAGUCCCCACCCUCUGCCCAGCAGGCACUUUCUCUAGCCUGCCAGGGAGGAGAACGCUUUCUGAGUGCCAGCCUUGCCCCUCUGGCUUCUAUUGUGAGUUACCUGGUCUCAGUGCCCCCACCGGAGAGUGCUGGGAAGGUUAUUACUGUGACAACCAGCAAGGGCCAGUUAUAGAUUUCACCCUUUACCCAUGCCCACAAGGUUUUUACUGCCCACCAGGGACAAACAGGAGCACUCAGUACAGCUGUCCUGCAGGAACCUUUGGACCAAGGCAAAGGCUGAGAACUAUCAAGGAAUGUCAGAGAUGCCCACCGGGAAAAUACUGUGAAUCCCCUGGACUUGCUGCCCCAACAGGAGACUGUGCUGAGGGAUUCUGGUGCAAAAGUGGUGCCCGAGUAAGAAAUCCUCAAGAUGGAGAAUCAGGACUUCCUUGUCCUCCUGGUUAUUAUUGUCCAGAAGGUGCACCACUUCCACUAGAGUGCCCUCCUGGCACUUGGUCUGGCAGCGAAGGCAGCAGCAGUUUGCAGCAAUGCCUGCCUUGCCCUGGGGGAUACUACUGCAAUAGCUCUGGACAGAGGGCUCCCACAGGACCCUGCAGCCCAGGGUAUUACUGUGUCACCAAGGCCCGGACCCCAGCACCCACAGACGGCCUCUCGGGAGCUCCAUGUCCAGUCAAUCACUUUUGUCCUCUUGGAUCCAGGAGUCCAACACCAUGUCCUGCAGGCUCCUACAUGCCACAGACCCAUGGAGAGAAGUGCCAUGCUUGCCCAGAGGGUGAAUACUGUGUCGCUGGGGAGAAGCCAGAGCCAUGUCCCCAGGGUGAGUUAGGAUUCCCCUUACACGCCUGGUUUGCUGUAGAUUUUCUGAAGACUGCUAAUGCUGACCUGCUCUUUCUUUUCCAGGGCACUUGUGUCCCAAGGGCACAGCUCUUCCAGUGGCUUGUCCAGCAGGGUCGUAUAACCCCUCACAAAGGCAAUCCAGCUGCCUCCCCUGUCCUGAAGGGUUCUUCUGCCCCAAAAAUUCCUCUUCAUUUUUGGAGAAUGAGUGUUCAGCUGGCCACUACUGCCCUACUGGUACUGCUGCUGCCACUCAGUUUCCAUGUCCCCAGGGAACUUACAACCUACAAAAUAGAAGCAGUCUCCUGUCUCACUGUACCCCCUGUGACCCAGGGCACUACUGUGCACUGCCAGGGCAGUCACACGUUACAGGAGCCUGCUGGGCUGGGUUCUACUGCAGUGGAGGCGCUUCUAGUCCAACACCUACGGAUGGUCUCCUGGGGAACACAUGCCCCAAGGGAGCUUACUGCCCUGCAGGCACUGCAUUUCCACAGCCAUGUCCUCCUGGUUACUACAGCAACUCAACUGGGAAUACUGGGAUCGAAGACUGUCUCCUGUGUGAUGCAGGGUAUUUCUGCAAUGGGACUGGACUUUUAUCUCCAACUGGAUUAUGUGAAGCCGGAUUCUACUGUAGUGGAGGAGCCAUUUCUCCUAAACCUCCCAGGACAACAAUCAGUGGAGGACCAUGUCCACCUGGACAUUACUGCAUGGUGGGGAGCAGCAGAGCCCAGCCUUGCCCUGCAGGGAGUUAUAACCCAUCCUGGAGUAUGGCACAAUGUUUGGAGUGCCCAGAAGGUUUUUACUGUAAGACUGCUUCCACCAACUACACAGAUUGCCCUGCAGGUCACUAUUGCCCCAGGAAUACAGAAUUUGCCUCGCAGUAUCCUUGUCCUCCUGGAACCUACAGCGAAGCUUUAA